Molecule: small nucleolar RNA, 106 nt
Filed under: Theobroma cacao (cacao)
Lineage: Eukaryota; Viridiplantae; Streptophyta; Magnoliopsida; Malvales; Malvaceae
Description: Plant small nucleolar RNA R71
Rfam family: Plant small nucleolar RNA R71
About the family: R71 is a member of the C/D box family of snoRNAs containing the C (UGAUGA) and D (CUGA) box motifs.
Source: Rfam by way of RNAcentral
AGACCAUGAUGAGGACAAUGCCGAAGCAAUUUUUUGUAUCUUUCCUAGGCUUCAUACAAUGAUACUGAAUCUUGCUGCAUGAAUGAUGUGAUGUUAUUUUGAAUUU